Nematolebias whitei (Rio pearlfish) is the source of this 200-nucleotide long non-coding RNA. RefSeq lists it as uncharacterized. The record is from RefSeq and is a predicted model, not a curated record. NCBI's taxonomy places the organism in Eukaryota, Metazoa, Chordata, Actinopteri, Cyprinodontiformes, Rivulidae. The transcript is spliced from 3 exons.
AGAGGCAGACGAUAUCACUGACUUUUGUGAUAGCUUGACGCUCCUGAAGAACAUUAACACAACAUCUGUGCCUUUACUUGAGAUGACCUGGAGCAUCUGUCGGACGUCACUAAACAGCCACUACUUGAAAUGGCCUUUUCUUAUGCUGGCACUGGAGGGGCUGUGCAUGUGGUCAGGCUUUGUCACAUGUACCUACUAUG